GUCAUCACAGCAGAAGGAAGUGCAUUUCGUUCCCUCCAACAUUGUUUUCGCCAUGUAAUGGGCUAAAGUAUAAGAGCAUGAUGUUAAGCAUCUAGAUCUUGAUAAUCCAGAAAACAUAACAUGCUGUGGCUGCUUUGGAUCUAAGUGCUGCAAACACUUUCCAUUCACCAAGCAGGAUGCUAUUGCUUCUUACCUUCCCAUCCAUCAUUGCUUUCUUCAUUUCUCAUCAUCAUUAUUCCAACAAAUUUCCAAGUGCCAAAAAGCAAAGCUGAAGAUCAAAAAGAGAGAAAAAGCUGAUUUGAAGGAAGACAGAUGGGCCAAACACGUGGUAGUUGUUGGUGGGUUCAGAAUGAUCACCAUGUUGAAAGGUCACAAAUGUUACUUAUUAGCCAUAUGACUUUUAUGAGUAGUAAAAAUGAACCACCAGCUCUCAAAGGGAAUCUUCCAAAGACAAGAAGCAUUCUGUUUAAUUACGGGUGGCCACUUAGUAUGCAUGGAGAGAGAAAAGAAUGUAUAAAUGAAACAGGAUGGCGUAAAUACUGGUGUAUAUGAGCAAGCUGUCUGAUGCAUUGUGACGAGCACCUUGCCCAGGUCAUUAGGCUGCAGUAACUGGAACUGAUCCACCACACUCAGAUGGUAUGUCAGACACGUGGACAAAUUCUGCAAUAACAAUGGUGUCAAUGUCAUUUUGGAGGUGAGCAACUUCAUGCUCAAAGUGUGCUGCAAACUGAUUGCCUGCAAGUCACAUCAUGUUCAUUGUGCUGAUGGUAGGUAACUCAGGCUCACUGGAUUGCCUUGAGCAGGAGAUCUUUAUGCUAUGACACUGUAGGAAGGACUGAUUUGCAAUUCUUGAUUCAGCACAACUUUAGCUACAAAAAGUAACAUCUGUCAGUGCUUGGUUUAAGAGCUUAGUUCACAUAUGCACCUUCUUCCCUUGGCGACUUAAUUAAUCUCAAAUCAUAGCAACAACUUUCAUAUCAUGUAGUGUCAUCGCAAAGCCAAUGCUUUUCAAUGGGUCGGUUGAUCAUUAAAUAGCAAUGAGAAAUCCAGUGGUGCCAAUGCAUGACUGACCUUGCUCUAAUGCCCUCUUAAGAUGGCAAGAAAAAUCCCACAAGUACUCUAAGCAAUGCGUGUUAUACUCAGAGACCUGUGGGCAGAUGUGGGCAGAUGUGCACACCAAGAGGUUAAAACAAUUUCAUAUUCAA
Podarcis raffonei (Aeolian wall lizard) is the source of this 1205-nucleotide long non-coding RNA. RefSeq lists it as uncharacterized. The transcript is spliced from 3 exons. The record is from RefSeq and is a predicted model, not a curated record. NCBI's taxonomy places the organism in Eukaryota, Metazoa, Chordata, Lepidosauria, Squamata, Lacertidae.